This is a long non-coding RNA of Sinocyclocheilus grahami, 192 nucleotides long. RefSeq lists it as uncharacterized. The transcript is spliced from 2 exons. The record is from RefSeq and is a predicted model, not a curated record. Lineage: Eukaryota; Metazoa; Chordata; Actinopteri; Cypriniformes; Cyprinidae.
UUUUCUGAAGUGGACGCGAAAUAGCCUGUUCAGUGAAGAGAGAAUCAAGGUCUUCACUCUGCCUCUUGAAAGAAAGGAGCUAACCUGUCGCCUAGCAACACCUCCCACUCCUGCCAAGCCAGAGGAAGAGAAGAGAGGAAGAGGAAGGACUGAAGCUGUCUAUGAAACUGAUGAGAGAGACAGAGGUAAAGA